UACGUAGGGUGCGAGCGUUGUCCGGAAUUAUUGGGCGUAAAGAGCUCGUAGGCGGUGUGUCACGUCGGCCGUGAAAACCUGCAGCUUAACUGUGGGCGUGCGGUCGAUACGGGCAUCACUGGAGUUCGGCAGGGGAGACUGGAAUUCCUGGUGUAGCGGUGAAAUGCGCAGAUAUCAGGAGGAACACCGGUGGCGAAGGCGGGUCUCUGGGCCGAUACUGACGCUGAGGAGCGAAAGCCAGGGUAGCAAACGGG
RNAcentral lists this ribosomal RNA (254 nucleotides) under uncultured bacterium. Its description in RNAcentral is "partial 16S ribosomal RNA". It matches the Rfam family "Bacterial small subunit ribosomal RNA", at positions 524 to 776 of the family's 1533-position model. The record is from RNAcentral.